CUAACGGCGAGUGAAGCGGCAAAAGCUCAAAUUUGAAAUCUGGUACCUUCGGUGCCCGAGUUGUAAUUUGGAGAGGGCAACUUUGGGGCCGUUCCUUGUCUAUGUUCCUUGGAACAGGACGUCAUAGAGGGUGAGAAUCCCGUGUGGCGAGGAGUGCGGUUCUUUGUAAAGUGCCUUCGAAGAGUCGAGUUGUUUGGGAAUGCAGCUCUAAGUGGGUGGUAAAUUCCAUCUAAAGCUAAAUAUUGGCGAGAGACCGAUAGCGAACAAGUACAGUGAUGGAAAGAUGAAAAGAACUUUGAAAAGAGAGUGAAAAAGUACGUGAAAUUGUUGAAAGGGAAGGGCAUUUGAUCAGACAUGGUGUUUUGUGCCCUCUGCUCCUUGUGGGUAGGGGAAUCUCGCAUUUCACUGGGCCAGCAUCAGUUUUGGUGGCAGGAUAAAUCCAUAGGAAUGUAGCUUGCCUCGGUAAGUAUUAUAGCCUGUGGGAAUACUGCCAGCUGGGACUGAGGACUGCGACGUAAGUCAAGGAUGCUGGCAUAAUGGUUAUAUGCCGCCCGUCUUGAAAC
This 563-nucleotide ribosomal RNA is filed under the name Saccharomyces cerevisiae (brewer's yeast). RNAcentral's name for it is "eukaryotic LSU rRNA". It matches the Rfam family "Eukaryotic large subunit ribosomal RNA", at positions 83 to 660 of the family's 3401-position model. Lineage: Eukaryota; Fungi; Ascomycota; Saccharomycetes; Saccharomycetales; Saccharomycetaceae. The record is from RNAcentral.